GCGCGUGUAGCUCAGCGGUAGAGCAGGGUCCUUAUAAGGCCAAGGUUCGAUGGUUCGAAUCCAUCCACGCGCA
This is a transfer RNA of 73 nucleotides. It matches the Rfam family "tRNA". Rfam says of the family: Transfer RNA (tRNA) molecules are approximately 80 nucleotides in length. Their secondary structure includes four short double-helical elements and three loops (D, anti-codon, and T loops).